GGGCAUGUGAUGCAGUGGUAGCAUGCUCGCUUUGCAUGCGAGUCGUCCUGGGUUCAAUCCCCAGCGUGUCCA
This is a non-coding RNA of Schizosaccharomyces pombe (fission yeast), 72 nucleotides long. Lineage: Eukaryota; Fungi; Ascomycota; Schizosaccharomycetes; Schizosaccharomycetales; Schizosaccharomycetaceae. The record is from Rfam.